UGACCACAUCCACUUACGGACGUUAAGGCCAUACGGACAGCCGGGUCAAAUGCCGA
RNAcentral lists this small RNA (56 nucleotides) under unclassified sequences. RNAcentral describes it as "Streptococcus sRNA SpF59 (ldcC RNA)". It matches the Rfam family "Streptococcus sRNA SpF59 (ldcC RNA)". The record is from Rfam by way of RNAcentral.